Non-coding RNA from Ictidomys tridecemlineatus (thirteen-lined ground squirrel), 4969 nucleotides. The record is from RefSeq and is a predicted model, not a curated record. NCBI's taxonomy places the organism in Eukaryota, Metazoa, Chordata, Mammalia, Rodentia, Sciuridae.
ACUAAAUUGCUGAGGCUGGCUUAGAACCUGUGAUCCUCCUGUGUCAGCCUCCUGAGCCGCUGGAAUUAUAGGUAUGCACCACUGUGCUCACCUGGUUUUUAACCAGCUGAACAAAAUAGAAAAAGUCACUUAAAGUCCUUACCCCCAUUAACAUCAAUCAGUUGCUCUUUACUCUUUGGGCAGAGUCAUUCAGCUAGUCAGUAGUCCAUCUGACUACGUAAGUAUAAAGCAUAUUGUUUAGAUUUGGUUGACUACCGAAAUGGAAAUACAGUAUAAUUACAGCAUAGCAUUAUACUACCUUCAGUUAUCAAAUGAGCUAUUCCUUUAUGCUACUGCCUAUAUAUUGAAAGUCCUAACCUGGCUAACUCUCACUAAUCUUUCAAAACUCCUAAUCCCAAUUUAGAUAUUGCCUCUUCUGGGAAGGCUCUCCUCACCCACACCCACUCCCCAUCUUGUAACCUUCUAUAGCAUUGUCGUAUUGUAUUAUACUGAACUCCUUGAAACCAGAAGUGUCAUCGUUCGUUCAUCUUCCCAGUGUGCUUAGCUCACUGUGGGACACAUAAAAGACACUUAAAUAUUUCUUUCUUGAUAGGAUAAAGAAGUGAGUGAUGAAAUAACAAUUUCCUUCUGAUGUUAAAAAAUAAAGGUUAAGAAUGAUUUGUUCUUAUAUAUUGGUUCCUUGUGAUCACCUCUUCUGUUUAUUAUUAUUCAUUAAUUUGAACUGUAUAUUCUCUUGGAAAUGAAAAUCAGCAGGCUACAAUUUGGAGAAGCCAUCUUCUGUAUUUUUGAAAAGUCAUGGAAAAUGUGCCCCCAUCUCCAGUUCUCUAGCAGCUGGGCAUUUGUUUUUUAACAUUGCAGAUUGUGCUUUGUGAGUUCUAGGUUUAGAUAUUUGGAUUCAUUUCAGAGCAGCUUCAUGAUAUGGUAGAAUGAUAACCACAUGGGGAACUGAAAAGACGAUUCUAGUCUAGACAGAGACACUGAUUUUCUGGGUGACCUGCAGGCACUUAUCUUUUCCAAGGUUUCAAUUUCUCAUCUGUAAAGUGAAAACUUUAGAUUCAGUAAUACCCAAGGUCUCUUUCCAGAAUUCUCUCAAAUUUUAGUGAGCUGUCUUAGAAUACUGUGACCUGAUCUUAGCUUUCAAAGAACUAAAAAACUGGAUUUCUGUAACUGUUGGCAUUCAAAGUAAGAAGUUGCCUAUCUUACCCUCUGAUUUGCUGAGGCUCUGCCAAAAUAUUUUUUGUAGGUUGAUGCUGCCACAAAAACAACCCUCAUUCCAAGUUUUUCUUGACACUGACCCCAUAUUCAUUUGUGUGUAACUUCCAUGGAUUGAUUCUGGUUUUGCCCUUGGUAUGGAAUUCCUCUUUUCUGCAUAACAGAUUUCAAGAUAUUUGAAGAUAGCAAUAAUACACUAGCCAUAAGUCUCUUACUCUUCGGGUUAAAAAUUCUAGUUUCUUUUACGGUUUCUCAUAUGACAAAGUUUUCCUUUAUUCCUGAUGAAGUCUGUAUGUAUUUUUGCCUCUAAGGGACUUUGCACAUGCCAUUCCUCUGAUGGCAAAACUCUUGAAGUCUGUAUCUACAUACUGAAUCAUUCAUUUGUCAAGGCCUAAUUUGAACCAUUUCUUCUUCCAUUCAAAUGAAUUGUUUUAUCCUUUUGUUUCAGAAGUGCUUCCCUAUGAUUUACACACAUUUUGUUCUAAUGGUUUUUGUACUGAAUAAUAUUUUCUCAUACCUGUGUGCUCCAUAAUAGCAAAGACCUUAACUGACUUGUUCAUGGUGUCUAGAACACAAAAGGUAUGUGUCAGUAAAUGAAUAAAUGAAUGAGUCUGUUUUCUAACUUGUGAUAUGGAGCUGGAUUUAAUGAAGAAUAAGUGAAUACAUGAAUGCACAAAAUGAAUGAAGUACUGUUUUAAGAUAUGUCAGGCUCCUUUGAAUCCUUCCUCUUAAAAAUUUUGAACCAAACAUAAAACUACAGAUGUGAUAUAAUCUGGACAGGUAUAGCAGUCUUAACAAUUUCUUGAAGUUAGUUUCUUUAAUUUCAGAUUCACGUUCACAUUAACAGAGAAAAUAGAAACUAAAAUAGGGCCUGAGUAAUUCUAUUUCCUUUCUGCACUCAUCGUGAAACUCCCUAGCAGUGGAUCUGUGCCUUCUCCACACUCUUACCUCAACUUUUUCCAUAUUCUAGAGUUAAUUCUGUGCUUUCUGGCACUAAGCUUGCUGAGAAAUGCUUGUUUUUGUCUUUUAGUUUUGUGCUUCCUGCUGUCUUUUAUUCUUGUCUACUUAAAAUAUGCUUCCCUCUUUUGUCUUUAAGUUACCACACUUGUAGCAUGGUCACUUCAUUUCAAGAUCCUGCUAAAAUUUGUGAAACAUAUUUUCUUAACAUAAAGAAGUAAGUUAUUGGGCUGGAGAUAUAGCUCAGUUGGUAGAGUGCUUGCCUCACAUACACAGGGCCCUGGGUUCAAUCCCCAGCACUGCCAAAAAAAAAAAAAAAAGUUAAUUAUCUCUAAAACUUGAAGAAAAGUAAUCAUUUGGAAACUCACUGUUAUGGUUUAAAGCGAUACAAGUUUCCUUAAAAUUAAAAAUUUAGUUUUAAAGUAGUUCUCAGUAUAGAUUAAAUGCAGUUGCAUAAAUUACAUAGACUGCCCACAAUUCCAAUUUAAUGACCAUACCUUCCCUAUCAUCUCAUCUCUUAGCAAGCGUUUGUAGAUACAAGUGAUGGUUAUUGAAUAAAUCAAGACCCAGGUGAAACAGAAAUGCAGAGUAUGGAUUUGUGUUGGGAGUGAUGGAGAAAGCAAAGGGAAGUGACACCCACUAUUGCUAUUAAGAGCUACUAGUUGCCUAGCCUGUUUGUUUCAUUGGGAAAAGUCAUGAAGAGAAUUCAGCAGAGUUAAAGGAAAACAAGCAAAUAGUUCAGCCUCCUUAUAUCUGUAUGUAGAUGACUGGAAAGACAACAAUACAGGAAAUACUUCAGAAGAAUAAACAAACACUCAUUGUGUUACUUUACCAGAAAAUUGUGUAUUCUCCACAAGCCAAGUGGAAAGGAUGACAACUAGGAAGAGGAAACCACAGAAUGGCCUUCUACUGCUUACCAUGUGAAUUUAGAAAAUUACUUGAUUGCUUAAAAAAAUAGAAAUGGUCAAGAAAAAUGUCAACAAAAUCUGUAAAUAAGAGAUCAGCAGAAUUAAUAACAUAAUCAGUUACUACUUUUAAAUAUACAACUCCACUCAUUGAUGAGAGAAUGGCCUGUCCCCUAUUUUUAUGAGAAAAAAAAAAUAGGGGAAUUUGUGCACUACUUUGUGAGGUUGGUCUGACCAUUCCAAAAAUCAAACUGAGAAGUCUGACUCACUAGAAGCUAGAAAAUUUGCCUGUUGUGAGAGUUCACUGUGCUCUUUUCAUUUCAUAACCCACACUUAUUAGCAGUCAUAAGAACUCUGGAUUGGAAGCCAGAUGAUUUGCCUGGAUGACGUGCAGUGUUGUCAAAAGUCUCUAAUAACAGAAGCACAGGAAACCACUUUAUGGAAUCUAAAGUGAUAUUCAAUAAUUUCAAAUGGCCCUAACAACAUCUACACUACAAUAAUUAAGUAUGUUAAAUACAUGUAGCUAAUUAUGAAUUCAUAGUGUUACACAAUUAUUAUUAGGCAUGAUUAGAAAAUAGUCCAGUGAGUGAAUUACCUUGAAAUUUUCUGUGACUGGUUAAUAUAUUACUGACCACUUAAUAUUUAAAGACGUGGUAGUUUAACAUCUAUUUUGUAAAUACAGAGACAACUUUUUGAUGUACUUGGACUAAUUUCCAAAAAAGACAUUUUAGCUGAUGUUAGAGGGAAACUUGUAAUUAAUAAAGGAAUUUGCAUUUAGGUCAUUAAUUUUUGCUCAAUAUCUGGAAGUUCAGAGUUUAUAAUUGUAAUAUCCAGAGUCACCCUAAACAUCUAGUUUCAAAAAAAGAUGUCUUGAUUUUUCUGAAUUUCUAGGAAAUUUAGAUAACAGAAUCUAUGAUUCUUAAAUCCACUUGACUUGUAACUGAUAGAACUGGGCUAUAUUGCAAGAUCACAUUGGAUAUAUUUUCCCAUUAGGCCAGAUUAGUUUAAUCUGUUUUAGAUUAUUAAAUUAAGAAUUUUUUUUUUGUAGUUGUAGAUGGACAGCUUGCCUUUCUUUUAAGGUUGAACCCAAUACCUCACACAUGCUAGGCAAGUUCUCUGUCACUGAGCCAUAGCCACAAAAUUGUUAAGUGGCUUUCUUGUAUUUUGCCUUCCACAUUUCUAUGCUCCACAUUAAUUGAAUUCUCAUUCUCUUAUAUUGAGGUAUAUCUAUAUACUUUGAUAUUAAUGCCAAUAAUUUAAAAAUGAUUAUAUAAGGAAAAUAUAAUAUCAAGUUUGUAUUGAACAUCAAUGAGAAUUUACUGAUUAUAACUUUUAAAAUUCACAUUUUAACUGAUUGAAUAUUCAUUCAUGGAAAAUAAAGGAUAUUUUCCUAAAGCAAACUUCUCAGGUACUUAAAAACAGGAAAUAGUGAAAAUAAACAAAUGACACACUGGUUUCUCAGUCACAGCAAUAUUUUUCUGGUACCUGCAUCUUUGCCAGAGAAAAGUACCCUAGAGUGGCAGCCAAGAAGAAACUCCUAAAAUAUAGGGUAAUUUCAUAGAGUUUGGAAUCCUAAGAAAUUCUGCUCAGAUUCCAAGAAUGAGAAAAUCUGGGUUUCUAUAGAGAAAAAAAACAAAACAAAAACAAACAAACAAACAAAAAAACCAGGAAACAGUACCAGGCCUAGAGAAUGGAUAGGAAAUUGGAAUAUUUCAUAUCCAAACCAUAAUAGGAGGCAACAUGAUGAAUACUUAGCAGUUACUCAAAAGAAUCACAUGAACCUGGAACAACCAAGAGCAAACUUGAGAAGAACAUCAUGCCAGAAGUCUAUCUCUUCAAGACUGUUAUGUAAUAAUCUCUGAAUGAAUUUAUAUUAAAAAGAUCAAAUAAAUUCA